GAUGAAGAACGUAGCGAAAUGCGAUAAGUAAUGUGAAUUGCAGAAUUCAGUGAAUCAUCGAAUCUUUGAACGCACAUUGCGCCCACCAGUAUUCUGGCGGGCAUGCCUGUUCGAGCGUCAUUUCAACCAUCAAGCCCCCGGCUUGUGUUGGGGACCUGCGGCUGCCGCAGGCCCUGAAAACCAGUGGCGGGCUCGCUAGUCACUCCGAGCGUAGUAAUACAUCUCGCUCAGGGCGUGCUGCGGGUUCCGGCCGUUAAAAAGCCUUAUUUACCCAAGGUUGACCUCGGAUCAGGUAGGAAGACCCGCUGAACUUAAGCAUAUCAAUAAGCGGGAGGA
This 336-nucleotide unclassified non-coding RNA is filed under the name soil metagenome. Its description in RNAcentral is "partial contains 5.8S ribosomal RNA, internal transcribed spacer 2, and large subunit ribosomal RNA". The stretch from base 1 to 120 matches the Rfam family "5.8S ribosomal RNA", at positions 35 to 154 of the family's 154-position model. The record is from RNAcentral.